ACUCUCGAUAUCUCAGUUGGAGAGCGGAGGACUAUAGAUGUGUCAGCAGUUAUCCUUAGGUCGCUAGUUUAAAUCCGGUUCGAAAUA
This 87-nucleotide transfer RNA is filed under the name Cordylochernes scorpioides. RNAcentral's name for it is "tRNA-Tyr". The record is from RNAcentral. Lineage: Eukaryota; Metazoa; Arthropoda; Arachnida; Pseudoscorpiones; Chernetidae.